RNAcentral lists this ribosomal RNA (484 nucleotides) under uncultured Verrucomicrobiaceae bacterium. RNAcentral's name for it is "bacterial SSU rRNA". It matches the Rfam family "Bacterial small subunit ribosomal RNA", at positions 29 to 505 of the family's 1533-position model. The record is from RNAcentral. Lineage: Bacteria; Pseudomonadati; Verrucomicrobiota; Verrucomicrobiia; Verrucomicrobiales; Verrucomicrobiaceae.
AACGAACGCUGGCGGCGUGGAUAAGACAUGCAAGUCGAACGAGAAGAGAGCUUAGCUUGCUUUGCUCGAUUCUAGUGGCGAACGGGUGAGUAUCACGUGAGCAACCUGCCCCGAAGUGGGGGAUAGCCCGAGGAAACUCGGAUUAAUACCGCAUACGGCCGCAAGGCCAAAGGUGGCUUCGGCUGCCGCUACGGGAUGGGCUCGCGCCCUAUCAGCUUGUUGGUGAGGUAACGGCUCACCAAGGCUACGACGGGUAACUGGUCUGAGAGGAUGAUCAGUCACACUGGAACUGAGACACGGUCCAGACACCUACGGGUGGCAGCAGUCGAGAAUCAUUCGCAAUGGGCGAAAGCCUGACGGUGCGACGCCGCGUGGAGGAUGAAGGCUCUAGGGUUGUAAACUCCUGUCAUCGGUGAGUAAGGCAGUGAAGAUUAAGAGUUAUCACUGUUGAUAGUAGCCGAAGAGGAAGAGACGGCUAACUCUG